CAAUGGCCUCUCUCUCUGGGCGGGGCCGCUCGAAAGGCAGGCUGCUGUUGGAUUGUGAGCCGGAACUAAGAAACAGCGUGGGCCAAUCAGAAGCGCCAUGAGGGGUUGGGCCUGCCGCCCUGCAGCGUGUCACGUGGACCUAGAACCAAUUACAGAAUCACUCCCAGGAGGAGUAGGCUCACACCUUAGAGCAGACACCCGGGGCCGCACCGCGUCUCCUUGGUUCACCGAAGAGCGCUCAGACUCACGUUGAUGGGGUCCCGCCUGAGGUUCGUCUUCUGCAUUUCUGCUUCUGCCCCAGACUGGAGUGGCAGCCAGCAUGACCUGACCCACAGGGAUCUGUGGCAGUGCCUGUUGGACCAUGGUGUUCUUUGGGGUGAAAUAGGUAGGCAGCUGACUAGAGCUGUUUGAUUUGAGUAACCAGAAAGACAUCAAGAGUUGUUGAUCAGAAGGCGAAUGUCAGUUGCUGCAGUGGAAAAUCACGAUCCCUCACUCUAUUUAAAUCUAGUUUUGACACCUAGAGCUCACUGGUCGAAAAGGACCUUGGUCCCUUCCAGGAAGGAUUCUACAAUGCCACGAUAAGUAUAUACAAAACAUACUCCUCCAGUCCUUCCCCAAAGGGAUCUAGAGCCACUUAACAAAGCAACUAAUUGACUUUGCAAAAGCGACUCUCCAGAUCUUUCAAGGACUGUUAGAUACAGGAUCUGAGCUGACACUUAUGCCAGGGUACCUGAAGCAUCGUGAGCCACUGGUUAGAAUAGGGGCUAUGGAAGUCAGGUGAUAAAUGGAAUCCUGACCCAUGUCCUGUGGUUACUUCUCUGGUCCCAGUGCACACUUGGGAUGAUUACAUGUAGCAGUAGGAAGAGCCUGUACAUUGAUCUCUUAUCUGUGGAAUAAGAAAGAUUAUGGUAGGAAGAGCAAAGUGGAAGCCCCUGAAACUCCCCAUCCCUCUGCCACCCCCUCCAGGAUACUAAAUCAGAAACAAUGCUGCAUUUCAGGUGGGAUUGCAGAGGUUGUGUCACUCUUGAAGACAAAAAAGUGGUUGUCCCCUUUACAUCCCCUUCAAUUCACCUGAAUGGUCUCUGCAAAAUCCAGAUGGAUUCAAGUAAAUAAUGGUGGUGUACCACAGACUUAGCCAAGUAGUAUCUCCAAUCACAGCAGCUGUGUCAGAUGAGGUAUCUUUACUGGAACCAAUUAAUGCAUCUCUGGCACUUAAUAAUGCAAUUAUUGAUGUGGUUAACAUUCUUUUCAAUUUCCAGUAAUAAAGAGUAAAUUUCCAACAGCAGUUCACGUUUAUAUGGGAAGGACAGCCAAACAUAUUCGUUGUCUUGCUUCAACGCUGUUUUGACACUCCUGCUCUCUGUCACAACAUAAUCCAUUGAGACCUUGAUCAUCUGGAUGUUCCACAUAACAUUGAUGACAUCAUGCUAGUUGGACACCAUGAAGAAGAAAGUGACAAGUGCUCUGUCCUUGGUAAGACAAUUCAUGUCAGGGGGUGAGAGAGAAACCCUCAGAAGUUCUGGAGCCUGUCAUCAGUGAAGUUUUCAGGGGUGCAGCAUUGUAGGGCAGAUCAGGGCAUCACCUCUUAGAUAAGGACAAGUUUUGCAUUUGGUAUCCCUAUCACAAAGAAGGAGGCAUAGCGCUUGACGCAUGUUGGGAUUUUGGAGUUAGUGUGUACCACACUUGGGAAUACUGUUCUGACCUAUUUAUUGGGUAACUUGGAAGACUGCUAGUUUUGAGUGGGGCCCAGAGUAAAGGAGGGCUCUGUUGAAGAUCCAUAUUGGAGGGUGAGUUCCCUUGCCACUUAGCAAAACCAAUGGGUUAGGGUUGGGCUUAUUUGUGGUAGGUAGGGACCCUGCAUGGCACCUUUGGCAGGCUGUAACAGGAGAUUUGCAGCGCACACUCCUAGGAUUCUGAAGCAAGACGAUGCCUACUGCAGUGGAGAACUACUCAGCAAUUGAAAGCAGCUCCUGGUACACUGCUGGACCCAAGUAGAGACUGAGUGCCUGAUUAUGGGGCAUCAAAUGACUAUGUGACCUGAGCCAGAUACUGACAGACCCACCAAACCAAUAGGUUAGGCAGGCUCAGUAGCAACUCAUGGCACAAUGAAAAAGGAUAGGACCCAAGCUUGUAUAGAGGGCACAAGUCGUUUAUAGGAAGAGGUGGCUGUGGCCUCCACAUCUCCUACCUUGUUGCACCGAUGCCUCUUUUUUAGCAGACAGGAAGAAAAAUUCAGGUCUGGUUCAGAGAUGGAUCAGCUUGAUGUGUUGGUAUGAGCUGAAGAUGAACCAUUGCUGCAUUGCAGUCCCUCUCAGGGUGGCUCUAAAUGACAGUAAUGAGAAAUCCUCCAGAGGGCGGAGCUUCAAGCAGUAUGCUUGGAUAUCCACUUUGGAGGGAGGGAGUGGAGUGGACACUGUAGUGGCGUAAGGAAGAGAUGCACAUGAACAUCUGGGUUGUGACAGAUGUCUUGCUAGUUGGUCAGGCACCUGGAAAAAGCAGGAGGGGAAUAUUGGAGACAAGGAGGUCUGGGAAAGAAGAUGGAUCUCUGCGAGUGAUCACAAGGCUGUGAAUCUUUGUGCCUCAUGUUAAUACUCACUGCAGAGGGGUCACUGAGCAACAAAGGGGGCUAGAUAAAGCUCAGCCAGCUUCUGUCCUUUUGUGCUUGUGCAUCAGGCCCAUGACUGGAGUGCCAUCGUGGUAGGACUGCAGUUUAUGCCCACCAACACGGGGUCUCUUAUCAGGGCUUAUCUAAUUAUUAUUGCUGCUGAAUUUCUGACCUGUUAGCAGCCAAGAGUAGUGCUGAGCUCCUGAUAUGGUACCAUCCCUGGAUGAGUUGGCGAUGGGGUGGUUACAGCAGAUCCUUUCCACCCAGGAGGGAGCAUUAAUUCAUCUUACUGGAAUUGACACAUGCUCUGGGUACGGGUUUGCCUUUCUGAUCCACGAUGUCUGAGUGGCAUCACUAUUCAGGAGCUUAGAGAAUGCUCGAUUUACCAACGUGAGUUCAUGUAUAACAUCACUUUGGGCCAAGAAACUCAUUUUACAGUGAAAGAGGUACAAUGGUGUAUGGAUUGCCAAGGGAUCCACUGCUUCUCUAAUAUCCUGCCUUGUCUACAAGCAGUCAGUCUAACUGAAAGAUGUAAUGAUCUCUUAAAGACUUAGCUAAGUCCUAGCUCUAGGAUGUAUCUGAGGAGUUGGGGUAUAUAACCUGAAUCAAAGCCCAGUAUAUGGUGCUGUGCCUCCAGUGGACAGAAUAUGUGGAUCCAGGAACAAAGACACAGGUCCAAGAAUCCAGGGGUUGAGAUUAGCUCUCUGUCACCAUCAUUCUCUGUGCUCCACUUGUAUUAUUUGCACAUUGUGUCUCUACAGCAUUAAGGUCUGCUGGAUUAAAGCCCCUGGUUUCCAGGUAGGGAACACUUCCAUGAGGGGUCUUCCACUGCUUCCAGGGAAGGACACCUCUGCUGAACCUGAAUCUGCGAAUUCCACCCACUUUGAACUCCUCAUGCUGGUGGACCAGCAGGCAGAGAAGGAGGGGAUAAUUGAUCCUGAUUAUUACGAGGAGAUAGGGUUGCUGCUAAUUAAUGGGGCAAUCAGGAUUUGGUCUGGCACUUGGAGGCUUCACCUGGGUCUGUCUGCUUGCUUCCAUGCCAAGUGACAACAGUGAAAAGGCAUUUUCAGCAACCACAGCCUGCCAAGGGCAAGGCAGCCAAGGGCAAGGCAGCCAAGGGCUCAGACCCCUCAGGGAUGGAGAUCUGGGUAAGGCCAUCAGGCAAGCCAUGUAAGCUAGCUGUGAUGUUGGCUGAGGAUAAGGGAAGUCUAGGACAGGUGGAGGAGAAGGGAGAUAAUAAAUAGCACUUACAGCCUCAAGAGCAGCUGCAGCAGUGGGGACUGUAUUUGUUUUAACCCUCUUAUAUUAAGUCUUUUGUAAAGGUUGUAACCAGCCUUCACCUCAAAGAAUCAUGACAGAACGGACUUAAUAUGGUGCCCAAGUAGAUCUGAGGGGUGCAAGUGCUGGUGUCUUGACUGAUGCCCUCAUCACACCUUUAAUUGCAGUGGACUUACAGAGCUGCCUCUCUGGCACCUGCUGUGUGUCUCUGCACCAUCUGCCCCAGGGCUUCUCUGAUGCCACAGGAGCCCACUUGGCCUGCUUACCAACACAGCUUAGGUCUCUGGGGGCAACCUCAGGGACUGGAGACAGGAGUCAGUGGAUGAAUAGUUGGACAACCCUAGGAGGCAUCCUGUAUACUUCUCAGGAGGUCCUGGUGAAGUCAAAGUGCUGUUACCCAGAGCAGUAACCUCAGGAACACACUGCUAUGUUUUGAUACCUCCUUUCCUGUCUCACUGUCCCCCUCUGUCACUUCUGUUUCAUGGGAUCAUAUCCUGAACAAACCACUUAUACCCAAGUCUUUGUCUUAGGCUCUGCUUUCAGAAGAACCCAAAAAAGACACACUAAAAGAAAGGUUAUUUCCAGUUUAUAUCGGCAAAAAAAUCUGGGGGAAUGUGUGUGGGAAUGGAUUAUGAGGCGAGAAAGCCAAGAAUUAACUGUACUUCAAAUUUAUCGACUAGGGUGUGCUCCAAAGGGAUUCUGGACUCAGUGUUUUGGUUAAAGUGCUGGAAAUAGUUGUAACUGUGCUUUCUUGGCUGAAUGAAGCCUGGACUCAUUGGCAUCUUACUUGAUGAGAAGAUAAGAAUGUACUGGAAUAGACUUGUCAUGUAUAUGACCUGGCCCCAGUCUCUAUAUUUUUCUUCGUUAGUCCGUUAUGUUGAUUUAAAAAAUAUAUUUGAUAGAUUAUGUCUUGAAUUUCUUUUCCAGGAGGUGAAGGGUUGUAAAGUAUUUGAUAUGUGUUGGGUCUGUUGGGGUUGUAAACCCUGAUUGGUCUCAUUUAUGCCCACGACUUCAAUUAGUAUCCAUAUGCUUGUGAUUGGAUAACAACUUGACUAGGUAGAAUAUUCUUGGGUCACUGUCAGUUGCCUAUUGCCACUGUAACAAAUUACCACAACCUUGGUAACUUAAAACAACAAAUUUAUUCUCUCUCAGUCCUGGAGACCAGAAGUUCAAAAUCAGUAUCACUGGGCCAAAAUCAAGGUGUGGGCUGCAUUCUCUCUGGAGACUCGAAGGGAGAAUCCAUUCCUGGCCUCCUCCAGAUUCUGAUGGCUGCACCCAUUCCUUGGUGUGUGGCUGCAUCACUCCAGUCUCUGCCUCCAUGGUCAAUAUUGCUUCCUCUUCUGUCUGUGUAAUCUCCUUCUGCCUCUCUUGUAAGCACACUUGUGAUCACAUUUUGGGCCAACCUGGAUAAUC
Molecule: non-coding RNA, 5296 nt
Organism: Equus caballus (horse)
Lineage: Eukaryota; Metazoa; Chordata; Mammalia; Perissodactyla; Equidae
Source: RefSeq, a predicted model, not a curated record